GGCCGCGUAGCGUAAUGGUUAACGCGCUAGUUUCCGGCAGAUAUUGUGGAGUAGCUAGAGAUUCUGGGUUCGAGUCCCAGCGUGGUCG
Molecule: non-coding RNA, 88 nt
Organism: Paramarasmius palmivorus
Lineage: Eukaryota; Fungi; Basidiomycota; Agaricomycetes; Agaricales; Marasmiaceae
Source: the annotation of a GenBank genome assembly